This is a long non-coding RNA of Acinonyx jubatus (cheetah), 1533 nucleotides long. RefSeq lists it as uncharacterized. The transcript is spliced from 3 exons. Lineage: Eukaryota; Metazoa; Chordata; Mammalia; Carnivora; Felidae. The record is from RefSeq and is a predicted model, not a curated record.
CAGCGUCAGCUGGGGUUCCCGAAGGUCAGAAAAUAGUUAUUGAUUAAUCUAUUAGAAUAGUUGCCGAGAGAAAUAAAAACGACGUAAAAUAACAGCGAACCUAUAAAUAAAGAGGCUGUAACUAGCAGCUGGGAGUUGUUAAACGACUUAGCAAGUGAAAAAGUCGGAAAUGAGGCGCUGGGGAAGGAGCCGGGACUGGCAGCGGCCUGGGCUUAGGUAAAUCCUCCAAGAUUUGACUUCCCGCGGAAACCAGUAGCAGAGUGGGUGGAGGAGGCGAGGAUGCGGCUGGUACACACCGAGUUUCCCUGGCAAGGAAAAUCGAUGUUUUAGGCCGCCUCACAGCGAGCUGCAAGAGCGGGCCGGCCGUGGCGGGCUCCUUGAACCCAAGUCCUGUCUGUCCGCUAAGUCCUGGGAGGAGAAUUUUGGCCUCACCAGAGGAAGGAGCACAAGGGGAGCGAGCGGUCCGAGAGGAAAUAGUUGGUGAAAUAUUUACAGAAGACGCUGGGAAACCGAUUUAAUUCCUGGUGGACAGUGGUGCUUCUGAUUCCCUCAGUCUGUGUCUCUCACCUACGACGCUCUCAAUCCUUGGCCUAGAAAAAAAAAAUCCGUAAAUUUACUUCAUUAUAGGCAGUGAGACACAUAGAUUGACUUUCAUCUCCAUUAGAUAAUUUCCUGGCUAUAACACUAGUCCAUUGGAUCUCCAUUUCGCAGGACGUUCCUGGUUUGUACUGGGGAUUGGGGGGAGGGGGGCAGUUACUCCAUCCAGAGACAGCCGCGGAACUCCAAAGUUUUUUUUUUGUGUUUAAAUGAUCCUCCCGAUUCCCCUUUGUACCUGACCCUAAAAUGUAUCUCUGAGUUGAUUUCCGCAGCAGCACCUCUUUGUGGCCCCGCAGGUGCGAACCGUUUACAAUGCCAUCUAGACAGCCUUCCGUGAAACCGACGGGAGUGGCGCGAGCUGGCUGCCCCCUGCACCCAGCUGCAACUGUCCGAGCAACGCAAUAAUUACAAAAGAAAGGUUGGAAGGACAAAAAAGAAAAAAGAAAGAAAUCCGAAAUCUGAAAUUCAGAAAUUACUUUUACAUAGCUUCAGUUGUCCAGCUCCAAUGCCAGGCAUGGGCCCCAAGCCCCAUUACAGCCCAAGAAGCUGGGCUCUCGUGGACGCGUGCCGUGUGUGUGUGUGUGUGUGUGUGUGUGUGUGUGUGUGUGUGUGUGUGUGUUUGAGAGAGAGAGAGCGCGUGAGCGUGGGAGUGGGAGUGUAGCGGCUCCGGGGGCUGCCCUCGGCAGCCUUCUUAAAGUAGCCUCCAAAUGAGCCUAAUUUCGAUUCUGCUGUCCGCCAGGGCUGGCUCUCAGGACUCCUCGGCGCGGUUGGUCGCUGCCUCACCCUCCCUCGGCCAAGACCUGGCCUGAUCCAUCCAUUCCCUGGUGUCUCAUUGGAACCUCCCUGGAGGAAGGGGUGGGGGGUGAACAACUCCCAGCCGCCAGUUCCAUUUGUUGCGCUUUUUUCAUUCGACACAAUAAAAGUCAAAUUAAUUGA